CAUGGCCCCCGUGACUGACGGGCAGGUGGGAGACCACCGGGGAGCGGGGAAAACGCCGAAAAAUGCCGUCCGUCUGGGCAGUGCCG
RNAcentral lists this non-coding RNA (86 nucleotides) under Clostridium sp. Its description in RNAcentral is "ZTP sequence". It matches the Rfam family "ZMP/ZTP riboswitch aptamer (pfl RNA motif)". Rfam says of the family: Previously known as pfl RNA. ZMP is also known as AICAR. Lineage: Bacteria; Bacillati; Bacillota; Clostridia; Eubacteriales; Clostridiaceae. The record is from RNAcentral. RNAcentral also lists the same sequence under 1 other name.